Molecule: ribosomal RNA, 159 nt
Filed under: Ilyonectria sp.
Lineage: Eukaryota; Fungi; Ascomycota; Sordariomycetes; Hypocreales; Nectriaceae
Description: 5.8S ribosomal RNA
Rfam family: 5.8S ribosomal RNA
About the family: 5.8S ribosomal RNA (5.8S rRNA) is a component of the large subunit of the eukaryotic ribosome. It is transcribed by RNA polymerase I as part of the 45S precursor that also contains 18S and 28S rRNA. Functionally, it is thought that 5.8S rRNA may be involved in ribosome translocation.
Source: RNAcentral
AAACUUUCAACAACGGAUCUCUUGGUUCUGGCAUCGAUGAAGAACGCAGCGAAAUGCGAUAAGUAAUGUGAAUUGCAGAAUUCAGUGAAUCAUCGAAUCUUUGAACGCACAUUGCGCCCGCUAGUAUUCUNGGCGGGCAUGCCUGUCCGAGCGUCAUUU